This is a transfer RNA of 88 nucleotides. It matches the Rfam family "tRNA". Rfam says of the family: Transfer RNA (tRNA) molecules are approximately 80 nucleotides in length. Their secondary structure includes four short double-helical elements and three loops (D, anti-codon, and T loops). The record is from Rfam.
UCCGAUGUCGUCUAGUGGUUUUAGGAUCCUGCGCUUUCAAGAUUUAUUGAGUGCCGCAGUGGCCGGGGUUCGAUUCCCCGCAUCGGAG